GGCCGAGCCGGAGUUCCGGAGGAGAGGGUCUGCGCCACAGUUCGGUUAACAAGCCUCCUGUCCUGACGGAUCAGGGAGGACCAGCGUGCCGCUAAGCAUUUAUGAGGCAAAGACGGGACUCUGGAAAGUCUGUGAGUGGCGGUGUCGUAGGAAAUCAAGCGGAACAUCCGUGACUCUGACCCAGGCCACCUGGGGAGGGACUGGAGAUGGCGAAACUGAGGCCCAGAAGGAUUUUUUUUCACCAGAUUCAUGUACGUGGUUCAGGUCAAAGGAAGCACGUGCCAGAGGCUCCCGACACCCAGUACUGCCCUUCUACACGUGGUGACGGCGCAUGGAGUCACGUGAGAUUCAAAGGAGUAUAGGGCUAGAAGACAUAAUAUAUGAUCUGCACUCACUUUGAUGUUGGAGAGGGGCUAGCUUGGUCGGAUCUCAUCGACUCAAAAUAAACCCAGCUUAAUGAUGACACCACUGUAAGUUUUAAGCAUAUAUUCUGUCUGUAGAGAAAGAAAGGGAGAAUCAAAAUUAGUUUUAAUGACAAAGUCAGGAAGAGGUUGAAUCGGUUGAUGCAUAAAUGAGACUGUCACUAAAAAUAUGUUCAAAAGAAGCUUCAGGGUAUUAAGAAUGCUCAUAAAAGCUUUCUGAUUAGUGUCAGACUAGAAGAGAACAGUAUCUUUAAAAUAGGCCACACUUUAGUUUCUGCAUAUCUGUCGCAUCAAACCUGGACAUUUUAAUAAAACAUUUAUAAAUAUAUGAAAUAUUUAAAUUGAUACAGUGAAACCUGUUUCCUGUGGAAUCCCUGAGUUGCCACCAACAGGUCCGUGCAGUGAUCUCUAAGCUAUGUUUGCAACAAUGAGCCUGAGGCACUGUCAGAAAUUCCUUUAUCCAUUCACCACGUGUUUGCGGAGUUCCUGCUGUCUGCUGUAUCUGGGGGUACAGAAAUAGAGGCCCCCAUCCCUGCCCUUGGAAAGCUCACUGUUGCAGGUCAGCAAAUGACGUCAGACUUGUUGAGUGCUAUGUGAUCAUGAAAAGAAAUCUGGUGUUAUAUUGGCUUACACCCU
Molecule: long non-coding RNA, 1058 nt
Organism: Camelus dromedarius (Arabian camel)
Lineage: Eukaryota; Metazoa; Chordata; Mammalia; Artiodactyla; Camelidae
Exons: 3
Source: RefSeq, a predicted model, not a curated record